This 417-nucleotide ribosomal RNA is filed under the name Sphingomonadaceae bacterium Ellin7229. RNAcentral's name for it is "bacterial SSU rRNA". It matches the Rfam family "Bacterial small subunit ribosomal RNA", at positions 29 to 491 of the family's 1533-position model. Lineage: Bacteria; Pseudomonadati; Pseudomonadota; Alphaproteobacteria; Sphingomonadales; Sphingomonadaceae. The record is from RNAcentral.
AAUGAACGCUGGCGGCAUGCCUAACACAUGCAAGUCGAACGAAGGCUUCGGCCUUAGUGGCGCACGGGUGCGUAACGCGUGGGAAUCUGCCCUUGGGUUCGGAAUAACAGCGAGAAAUUGCUGCUAAUACCGGAUGAUGACGUAAGUCCAAAGAUUUAUCGCCCAAGGAUGAGCCCGCGUAGGAUUAGCUAGUUGGUGAGGUAAAGGCUCACCAAGGCGACGAUCCUUAGCUGGUCUGAGAGGAUGAUCAGCCACACUGGGACUGAGACACGGCCCAGACUCCUACGGGAGGCAGCAGUGGGGAAUAUUGGACAAUGGGCGAAAGCCUGAUCCAGCAAUGCCGCGUGAGUGAUGAAGGCCUUAGGGUUGUAAAGCUCUUUUACCCGGGAUGAUAAUGACAGUACCGGGAGAAUAAGU